GACGAACGCUGGCGGCGUGCCUAAUACAUGCAAGUCGAACGCAGUGGGGACGGGUGAGUAACACGUGGGUAACCUCCUAUCAGAGGGGAUAACACUUGGAAACAGGUGCUAAACCGAUACCGUUGGAUGGCCCCGCGGUGCAUUGGCUAGUUGGUGAGGGACCGGCACACCAAGGCUGAGAGGCCUAACCGACAUGAGAGGAUGAUGUGCCACACUGGGACUGAGACACGGCCCCGACGCCUACGGGAGGCAGCAGUAGGGAAGCUUCGGCAAUGGAAGAAAGUCUGACCGAGCAACGCCGCGUGAGUGAAGAAGGUUUUCGGAUCGUAAAACUCUUUUGUUAGAGAAGCGGUAUCUAACCAGAAAGCCACGGCUAACUACGUGCCAGCAGCCGCGGUAAUUC
Molecule: ribosomal RNA, 403 nt
Filed under: uncultured bacterium
Lineage: Bacteria
Description: partial 16S ribosomal RNA
Rfam family: Bacterial small subunit ribosomal RNA
Source: RNAcentral